CCACUAAUUCCAUAUACAAUACACCCCCGCAGGUGCCGCCCUCCAUAUCGGUCAUAAUAGCAUUAGCCAUCACUACAAAAAAGAAUUGCAACGGCUUCGCCACUUUGCAACGGCAUAGAUUUGCCGUCGCGAAAAGUCUGUAAUUAGCGACGGCGAUCGUUCAGGUGGUAGCAAUAGAAAUGAGAUGCGACGGCAUAACAUUUCCAUCGCAUAUUUAGAUAUCAAUGGCCACCAGGUGACCAAUGUCGUCGCUAAUAAACUUAAAAUAUGCCCUUAACUAAAGAAAAUAAUUCAGUCGCUUCAGGAGAAGAAAGGUGUCAAGGAAGAGCAUUACAGAUCUCUCUCUCCCCCUCUGAUCGAUUCUUAGGUAGCAGAGAGCACAAAACUAUGGAGAAUAUGAUGAACAAGCUCCAGAAUUUGGUCGCGUACCCCAAAAUCAACGAAGAUUUCUACAGCCGUACCCUCUCCGGCGGCGUCAUCACUCUCGCCUCCUCCAUCGUUAUGCUCCUGCUCUUCUCCGAGGUCGUACGCUUUGCUUUUGCUAUUUCUCUUUGUUAUUUGAUUGGAAUUUGUGUUUUGAUUGAAGAUCUGUCAGAUUCUAGGCUUUGGAAUUAUGAAGUAAUGUGAAUUUUGCAUUUCAAGUUACGGAUCUGGUAGAGUCUUAUCGAAUCCAACCCACAAACCAAAAUGGGUGGUAUAGUCUUAUCAGAUCCAACCAUAUUCUCUCAGAGCCAUAUCGGGUUCAGUCUCGCCUUCUCUUAGGAUCUCUCACAAUCCAAACCCCAAUUUCCCGAUCGGGUUCAGUUUCUCAGAUUACAAUUGCUGUAAGUCCCAAUUUCUAAUUACUCAAUUUGUUUCGCCCUUUUUUUCACUCUGUUGUGCUCAGAUUUUGAUUUAGGGGUUUCUGAUGUAAAAUGGGAGUAUGUUUGGUGUGACCCAGAUUCUAAAUUUGAUGCUUUGAAGAAUAUAAUCGUUUUAGGUUUAAGAAAUUGAACUGAAAUGUUGAAAUCCUGCUUUUCAAGUUUGUGUUUUUAUUGUAGUUUCUUCUUGAAUUUGUAGUGUGUUUACAUUGGUUUUUGGGGGUUAAUGGAUUUUGAAAUCAUGAGGUUGAGGUUUACCUUGUGAUAUCGUAUGGAUUCGACACUAGUGUCUUCAUUAGCAAAUGCUCAAAUGUUCCAUUAGUAGAAAGUCUUUUCCUUUACUUUUAAGUUUGACAAUGUCUUCAUGGACCUUAGCCUUAAAGGUGCCAUGAAGGAUUUGACGCUAGUUUGGGUAUUGAUGAAUUUUGAAAUCAUGAGGCUGAGGUUACUUUAUUAGUUUGCAUGAUCAUAAGGAACACCAGGAAGUCAGGAACCAACACUCAUUUUAGCAUUAGCAAAUGACCAAAUGUUCCACUAGAAGUUUUUUUUUUUUUAUCUGAAUCAAAUAUAGAUUGUAAAGAUUAAUAGAUUACAACACUUUCAUAACUCUGUUCCUUCUUGCUACAGUAUUUUUCUUUUGAACAUGCCUGCUAUUGCGAAUUUGUGACAAGCUUUUCAUUAUGCUACUUGUUCUUUGAGUAAAUAUCUUAUAGCUUCUGGUCUUGUGUUCUGAGUUUGAUAAGUUCAGUUUCAUGAGUUGUACUUGUUGGGACAUAGCUCUUUGAAAUAUGUAUUUGAUCUGAAUCGUAGGGUACGUGGCAAGAUUUAAAUAUGGCUUCAUCUAAAGGCUGGCAAUCAAUCAUCUUAGCAGUUAGUGUUAUUUGUGCCUUAAAUUUCUUAUUUAAAAACAAUCCUAGAGAAGUUGUGCAAAUCAAUGUUUUUGAAGGUAAUGCAACUUAUUUAGUACAAGUUUAUGGUUGAUUCCUUCAGUUCUCUGCAACUUACAUUGUUAUUAUAAUUUAAUUGAUCCUUUCUUUUUGUUAGGGUGGUGGUAUCCUUACUCUGGCAGAGAUAUAUCAAUUGGUAACACACUCCCUAGGAUUUUUCAAUAACUUAUGCUCCAUCAAAAAUUUCUACUCAGUACCAGGCUAUUGAGAGAGGGACAGAAGGCACGAGGUUAGUUCUUCAUUUUUCUGAAUUUUUAUUAUUAUUAUUAUUUUUUUUUAAUUUUUGAUUUUGAUGUAGAACCCAGAAAUGUAGCUAAAAUUUAUUAUUUUCCAAAUUCCCAAGUCUAUGAAAUUUAAUUAGUUUCUCGCUUUUAAUUUCCAGCCCUACAUUUUCCCAAGCUGCAAUUGUUGUGUUUUUCAGCAAUCUGGCCGAUGUUGGCCUUCAUACUUCACUAUUGGAGCAACAUUUAGACUUAGAGAAGUGUAACUGAACUAAAUUUUGAUUUAUUGGCUCACAGAUGAACUCAGUUUUGUUUAUCUUAUAUUUGAGUUUGUGGAUUAUUCGUAUAGAAAUAUAAUGGUACUGUUGGAAUAGCACAUAAGAAUCCAUUGUUUGCUGAGCAGUACUAUUUAAAGGCCGGGUUUCACUUCAACAAUGAUCAGUUUGCUGACCUAAUGGAGAAGCCCUUGAGGAAUCAAUUAUAGCCCUUGUUUGAGUCUUUGAGAGCAUGUCUCAGUUCUGUUGUUUUGUCGAAUUCUUUGAGUUAGGCUUAGUUGUCUAAACUCUGGUAAUUAAUUUUUGGUCUUCAAUCUCAGGGCGAUAUUGAAGAUGGUGAAGAACCCAAAUCAGCAGCUAUUAGGGAACUACAAGAAGAGACUGGGGGUCUGGGGUAGUGUUGCUGACAAUUAAUGGCAUGUCGUUCUUAUUAAUGACACUGAUGCACACACUUUAUUUUAGACCUGUGUUCUUAAGCUUGCAACUUGUCUGCCAAAACUCCUUUCUUCUGUGUACUAUAACAAUAUCUAUCUGCAGCCAACUCUCGUUUCUGCCAUUAUGAAACAUGUUCCCAAGUUGUUAUGUUCUUUGUAUGUACUCUGCUGUUUAUCCUUAUGUGAUAUAGAUAAUUUAGGUUACUGAGGAUCUGUAAUUCAUGAUUCUUGAAUUCUCAACAUGUUAAGUAGGGACAAAGUUGGAGUUGAAGUAAAGGACUUGUAUGCCAGAAUUUUGGUUGCCAUAUGCAGUGCUGAAUCAAUAUCUCAAAGGAUCAGAAGACUGAGAGAUGAAGAGCUGCAACCACAACUUAUCGAGCUGCUAAAGGGCUUCAUGAGAAAUUGGCGGAUAAUCACCUGUUGGAAUUGCAUGAAACUCAAAACAAAAUCAUGUCUAGAGUGAGAUCGCUUAACCGCCCCACCAUUGGAAUGGUCUGCAAUGACUCGCACCAGCUUGCUACUUUCAAGCU
RNA transcript from Rosa rugosa (rugosa rose), 3267 nucleotides. It is a transcript of the gene named protein ALTERED PHOSPHATE STARVATION RESPONSE 1-like, with no coding region annotated. The transcript has 3 exons. NCBI's taxonomy places the organism in Eukaryota, Viridiplantae, Streptophyta, Magnoliopsida, Rosales, Rosaceae. The record is from RefSeq and is a predicted model, not a curated record.